RNAcentral lists this ribosomal RNA (509 nucleotides) under uncultured bacterium. Its description in RNAcentral is "partial 16S ribosomal RNA". It matches the Rfam family "Bacterial small subunit ribosomal RNA", at positions 28 to 506 of the family's 1533-position model. The record is from RNAcentral.
GACGAACGCUGGCGGCGUGCUUAACACAUGCAAGUCGAACGAAGAGCGAUGGAAGCUUGCUUCUCUCAAUCUUAGUGGCGAACGGGUGAGUAACGCGUAAUCAACCUGCCCUUCAGAGGGGGACAACAGUUGGAAACGACUGCUAAUACCGCAUACGAUCUAAUCUCGGCAUCGAGGAUAGAUGAAAGGUGGCCUCUACAUGUAAGCUAUCACUGAAGGAGGGGAUUGCGUCUGAUUAGCUAAUUGGAGGGGUAACGGCCCACCAAGGCGAUGAUCAGUAGACGGCGGGGGGGGAGGAACGGCCACAUGGGGAUUGAGAACGGGCCAGGACCCCUAGGGGAGGCAGCAGUGGGGAAUUUCCCCAAAGGGAGGAAAGUCUGCGGGAGAACCGCCGGGGGAGGUAGAAGGGCCUUGGGGUUUAAAAGCUGUUUUAAGGGGGAGAAAAGGCUUUUUGGGGAAAGGUGGAAAGGAUGGAGGGAACCGAAAAAAAAAGCCACGGCAAACUACGG